This 213-nucleotide unclassified non-coding RNA is filed under the name Hevea brasiliensis (rubber tree). The record is from RNAcentral. Lineage: Eukaryota; Viridiplantae; Streptophyta; Magnoliopsida; Malpighiales; Euphorbiaceae.
AACAAAGCAGUAAAGGAAGUGGAUGAAGAUCUGAGUGGAGAUUUCAAAGAGAUGAAAGAUCAAGCUAAUGGAGAAACAAAUACUACAAAGAUUUUAGAAUCCAUGCUUCCACAGCAAAAGUUGAAUGUUGAUGUUGGUAGACAAAAACCUGAGAAGGUAGUGCCACCUUCACCUAGGAGCACGGAGCCUGUUGUUGCAGAUUCAACCGUAGUG